AGAUUAUCUCUAAAGUUGAUCUAUUGGAAUGACUUAUCUAAGUCAAAGUAAUUCAAGUAAUUCAGGUGUAGUGGAAC
RNAcentral lists this microRNA precursor (77 nucleotides) under Capra hircus (goat). RNAcentral describes it as "mir-1297 microRNA precursor family". It matches the Rfam family "mir-1297 microRNA precursor family". RNAcentral also lists the same sequence under 1 other name. Lineage: Eukaryota; Metazoa; Chordata; Mammalia; Artiodactyla; Bovidae. The record is from Rfam by way of RNAcentral.